AGAGUUUGAUCCUGGCUCAGAACGAACGCUGGCGGCGUGCUUAAUACAUGCAAGUCGUACGAGAAAGUCCCGCUUGCGGGAUGAGUAGAGUGGCGAACGGGUGAGUAACACGUAAGAAACCUACCCUUAAGUUCGGGAUAACCUUGCCAACGCGGGGCUAAUACCGGAUGUGGUUUGAGUAUCGCAUGGUAUUUCAACUAAAGGUGACCUCUCCUUGGAAGUUACUGCUUGAGGAUGGUCUUGCGCCCCAUUAGCUAGUUGGCGGGGUAAUGGCCCACCAAGGCGACGAUGGGUAGCCGGCCUGAGAGGGUGAACGGCCACAUUGGGACUGAGAUACGGCCCAGACUCCUACGGGAGGCAGCAGUAGGGAAUAUUGCGCAAUGGACGAAAGUCUGACGCAGCAACGCCGCGUGAGGGAUGACGGCCUUCGGGUUGUAAACCUCUUUUAUUUGGGAAGAAAAGGCUCGUGGCUAAUAUCUGCGAGCUAUGACGGUACCAUUUGAAUAAGCCCCGGCUAACUACGUGCCAGCAGCCGCGGUAAUACGUAGGGGGCAAGCGUUGUUCGGAUUCACUGGGCGUAAAGGGAGCGUAGGCGGAACGGUAAGUUAGGAGUUAAAGGCGUGGGCUUAACCCAUCGUAUGCUUCUAAUACUGUCGUUCUUGAGUAUGGGAGAGGGUAAUGGAAUUCCAGGUGUAGCGGUGGAAUGCGUAGAUAUCUGGAAGAACACCAGUAGCGAAGGCGGUUACCUGGCCCAAUACUGACGCUGAGGCUCGAAAGUCGGGGGAGCAAACAGGAUUAGAUACCCUGGUAGUCCCGACCGUAAACGAUGGACACUAGUUGCUGGGAGAGUCAAUCCUUUCAGUGACGAAGUUAACGCAUUAAGUGUCCCGCCUGGGGAGUACGCUCGCAAGGGUGAAACUCAAAGGAAUUGACGGGGGCCCGCACAAGCGGUGGAGUAUGUGCUUUAAUUCGAUGCAACGCGAAGAACCUUACCUGGGUUUGACAUGGGAGAGAAACUUUCCAGAGAUGGAUUGCCUACCUUCGGGUACUCUCUACACAGGUGCUGCAUGGUUGUCGUCAGCUCGUGUCGUGAGAUGUUGGGUUAAGUCCCGCAACGAGCGCAACCCUCGCCCUUAGUUGCCAGCGAGUAAUGUCGGGAACUCUAAGGGGACCGCCUGGUUUAACCAGGAGGAAGGUGGGGAUGACGUCAAAUCCUCAUGGCCCUUACGCCCAGGGCUAGACACGUACUACAAUGGCCGGUACAAUGGGAUGCCAAGCCGCGAGGUGGAGCCAAUCCCCAAAAACCGGUCUCAGUCCGGAUUGGAGUCUGCAAUUCGACUCCAUGAAGUUGGAAUCGCUAGUAAUCGUGGAUCAGCAUGCCACGGUGAAUACGUUCCCGGGCCUUGUACACACCGCCCGUCAAGCCAUGAAAGAUGGGAGCACCCGAAGUCGUUGACCUAACCCGCAAGGGAGGGAGAUGCCGAAGGUGAGACUGUUAAUUGGGGCUAAGUCGUAACAAGGUA
This 1523-nucleotide ribosomal RNA is filed under the name metagenome. RNAcentral's name for it is "bacterial SSU rRNA". It matches the Rfam family "Bacterial small subunit ribosomal RNA". The record is from RNAcentral.